AUGUUCUAUCAUCAUCAGGUGAGACUGAAACCGGAGUGAACCGGAAUUAACUGGAAUGAACCAGAAUGAACUGGAAUGAACCGGAAUGAACAGGAACGAAGACGCUAACAGUGACAUAAUUAUGAUGAGCACACCUCUUUUUGUGGUGACAUCAGGUCACAAAGAAAAAUGAAAAGAUGCCAAGGUGUUUGUGGAGGUGAGAUGUGGCAAAGGGCCACCAAUUGUGUGUGCACCCUCCUGCGUGAGGAUUAAAGUCACCCAAAUGCCAUGGAGAGGAGAUCCCAAAUAUUCAUGUGUUAUUAAAAUGUUGAGCAUUAACUUGUAAGUGCGAACUUCUGCAUCUUUCUAUAUAUACUAAAACAUAUACAUUUUAAAACAUAUACAUAUACAUAUAUGUAUACCCUAAGACAGAGAAAUUAACAGAUAACAUCCCAAAGCUAACUUUAGCAUGUUGAUUUGGUAUAAAAUGACCCAAAGAGACAUUUUAUGGGCUUAACAGAAUAAAGUUUGUCUUCCUUGG
RNAcentral lists this long non-coding RNA (520 nucleotides) under Rattus norvegicus (Norway rat). Its description in RNAcentral is "long non-coding RNA NONRATT031702". Lineage: Eukaryota; Metazoa; Chordata; Mammalia; Rodentia; Muridae. The record is from RNAcentral.